Long non-coding RNA from Taeniopygia guttata (zebra finch), 2448 nucleotides. The record is from Ensembl. Lineage: Eukaryota; Metazoa; Chordata; Aves; Passeriformes; Estrildidae.
UUUUUUUUUUUUUUUUUUUUAAUUUGGGAUAUUCAGCUGAGAAAAAAAAAAAAAGUGAUGGAAGAAACAGAAUGCAGAGAGCAAGGACGUUUAACAGGCAGCGGAAUUUUCCCUUCAGUGCUAGUGGCUUUGAUUUGAUGCCUGUCAUGAUGGUUUGGGCAUGGAAAAUUGUUCUCUUGGGCUGCAGUGUGGGGCCAAAUUGAUUUGUCCAUUCCAGGAAACUGAGGGAUGUUGUGGAAGUUGGUCUCUUAGAAAAAAGUUAAAAUCUUUCUGGGAAAUGUUAAGUCUUUUCUACUCUGUUCUAAUCUAUUCUUGUUUUGCUGGAUCUAUUUUGUCUUUAAAAGAUUUAGGACCGCUUUUGUCUUAUACUGUAAAGAAAAAAAUGUGGUUUUCCUGUGCUUCCCUUCAUAUUAUCUCAUGCCUCUCAGUCCAACUUUCUUUUCCCACUGGAUAGGUACAGAAGAAGCUUGGGAGUUGCACAUGGUGGUUCUUCAUCUUUGACUGUAUAGCUCAAAGCUUUUUUUUUUUCUGGUAGUGUCAAGAAAUGUUCAACCAGAAUAUUUCUUCUCUCCAUUGUCAUGCCUAAAUGGAGAGAACCAUUUUCCAUGGACCAAAGUACCUCUUGGAUAUUCAGUGUGAUCAAGACAGAGUUUUGGAUAAAACCAGUGCCAUGUGACAUUGUCCUGCCAGGAGGGACCGGCUGUGGGGCCAUUUUCUCUCUGGCAUUGCUUUUCAGAGGAUUUGCUGUGGUGCUCAUCUUCAGCACCCUGAGAACAAGGGAGGUCAGUCCUUUGUCCUUUCCUUGGAAAAGGCUGGGGAGUGCUUCCUUCAGGCUUUUAUGGAAAACAAGGCCUUGAAGGUGAAGGCUGAGGGAAGAGCUUGGAGCCAAAUGUACAGUUAAUGAAGGAACCUCUUUGGAAAUUGUACUCUGAGACUCUCUGUUUUAACCCAUUUCAUAAAUAAAGGCAUCCAAGCACAGCUGAUGUACUUCUCCUUCCAGCUCAUUUGUGCCUUAAGUGGACUGAAGAUCCAUUUCAUGGAAUCUUGAAGUGGUUUGGGUGGGAAGGGACCUUAAAGAUCAUUUCGUUCCAAUCCCUCCCUUCACUAUCCCAGGUUGCUCCAAGCCACAUCCAACUUGGCCUUGGACACUUCCAGGGAUGGGGCAAUGUCAUGGUUUGGGACAAAUUUGGGAGAAAACUUCCAAAGGGGUCCCUCUAGAAAGCAAAUUCAAGUGGCCUUUCCCCAAACUGGUUCAGGAAAAGAUUUCCUUGGCAGAAAGUGGAAAAACCCCUGUUUUUUAACAAAGAAUUCACAAGCAUAAAAAAUGAAUAAUUUUAAACAAUAAAACCUCUUGCUGUUCUGAAGAGAUGGCAAAUUUAGAAAGAACUUUUUGUGGGGUGUAGCUUGCUUCACUCAGUCUGUUAUCAGUCCUUCCAGCUCUGGAAAAUGCCAUAUCCUGGGCCCCAGUGGGGUAUAGGUGUGAGCUCCUGGUGUUUUUCUGGGUUUUCAGUCCAGGGAAAGACCGAAAGAAAAGAAAAGCCACAGCCCAGGGAACAUUCCUGCCUCAGCUAGCUAAAAGCAAAGGAGAGCUCUCUCCCACUGUCUGUGCUGCAGACAACACAGUCCAGGAGAAGGAGCAAGUGCAGCCUCUGAUAACAAACUGAACUUCUUCUCCCCUCCUUUGCUCUCAGAACCACUCUAAAGGUGCAGAACUUAAUAUCCAGCAUAAACAGAAGAGAUGGUUGGGGUACAAGCAUCAUAAAGCCACCCUAGAACAGGCAGCUACAGCUUCUCUGGGCAACCUGUGCCAGGACAUCACCACCCUCACAGGGAAGAAUUUCUUCCUAACAUUAAAUCUGUAUCUCCCCUCUGUCAGUUUUAAGCCAUUCCACCUUGUCCUGUCACUCCAUGCUCUUGUCCCAAGUCCCUCUCCAGCUCUCCUGGAGCCCCUCAAGGCAACAGAAGGGGUUCUAAGGUCUCCCUUAGGGGCCUUCUCUUCUUCAGGCAGAACAAUCCAAACUCUCUCAGCCUUUCCUCAGAGAAGAGGUUCUUCAAUCCCUCUAAUCAUCUUUGUGGCCUCCUCUGGACUCAGUCCAACAGUUCUGUAUUAUAUUUUAUCUGCUCUUCUCUGGAUCACUGAAUCCUGUGAGUCUGAAUACCCCUGGACUGUGCACUUGAAGAGCACAUGAAUAGCUUGACCCAUGUUUUGCCCAGCUCAGCACAAGUGGGAGGAUGUCUAAUGUUUUUGCAGUGCCUUAAUGUCACUCCUAGCCAGCCCACACAUGGCCUUGCACUGCAAUGAGCAGAGGUGACAGCACAAAGUGGAGGCAGGAGUGCUGGAACAGCAUGUGGGAAUGCAAACAUAAACCUGUGGGAAUGCAAAUACACUUUUGCAUGCACACAGUGGGGUGUUCUGAGCUCUCAUCAUUGUGAGGCCAUGGGCAAAGG